Molecule: long non-coding RNA, 1637 nt
Organism: Coturnix japonica (Japanese quail)
Lineage: Eukaryota; Metazoa; Chordata; Aves; Galliformes; Phasianidae
Source: Ensembl
AUUCCGAUUGGAUCCGAUUGGUUCCGAUUGGAUCCGAUUGGUUCCGAGGGGUUCUGAGGGGCUUAAGGGGCUCCGAAUGGUUCCGAUUGGUUCCGAUUGGUUCCGAUUGGAUCCGAGUGGUUCCGAGUGGUUCCGAUUGGUUCCGAGGGGUUCUGAGGGGCUCAGGGGGCUCCGAGGGGCUCCGAAUGGUUCCGAAGGGUUCCGAUUGGUUCCGAAUGGCUCCGAUUGGCUGGUUCCGAGCGGUUCCGAUUGGUUCCGAACGGUUCCGAGUGGUUCCGAUUGGUUCCGAGGGGUUCCGAGUGGUUCCGAGGGGUUCUGAGGGGCUUAAGGGGCUCCGAAUGGUUCCGAUUGGUUCCGAAUGGUUCCGAUUGGUUCCGAGGGGCUCAGAGAGAAGUUCCGACUGGUUCCGAACGGUUCUGAGCGGUUCCGAUUGGAUCCGAAGGGUUCCGAGGGGCUCCGGACUGUUCGUAGAGGGGAUUCCGAUUGGUUCCGAUUGGUUCCGAUUGGUUCCGAUUGGUUCCGAUGGGUUCCGAAGGGUUCCGAGAGAAGUUCCGAGUGGUUCCGAACGGUUCCGAACGGUUCCGAGUGGUUCCGAACGGUUCCGAACGGUUCCGAGUGGGUCUGAAUGGGUCCAAGCGGGGCCGGGAGGUUCUGAGCGGUUCCGGGGCCGUUCUGAGGGGGUUCUAUUGGGUUCUAUUGGGUUCUAUUGGGUUCUAUUGGGUUCUACUGGGUUCUCAGCGGUUCCGAGCGCGGUCCAGUCGGUCCCGGUCCCGUUUUGGGCCGGUUCUGUUGGUCCCAGUCCCGUUUCGGGUGGGUCCGGUCAGUCCCGGUCCCGUUUUAUGUCGGUUCUGUUGGUCCCGGUCCCGUUUUGGGUCGGUCCAGUCGGUUUUGGUUCCGUUUUGGGCCGGUUCUUUUGGUCCCGGUUCCAUUUUGGGUCGGUCCAGUCGGUUCCGGUUCCGUUUUAUGUCGGUUCUGUUGGUCCCGGUCCCGUUUUGGGUCGGUCCGGUCGGUUCUGGUCCCGUUUUGGGCCGGUUCUGUUGGUCCUGGUUCCGUUUCGGGUGGGUCCGGUCAGUCCCGGUUCCAUUUUGGGUCGGUUCUGUUGGUCCCGGUUCCGUUUCGGGUGGGUCCGGUCGGUUCUGGUUCCGUUUUGGGCCGGUUCUUUUGGUCCCGGUACCGUUUUAUGUCGGUUCUGUUGGUCCCGGUCCCAUUUUGGGUUGGUCCGGUCGGUUCUGGUCCCGUUUCGGGUCGGUCCGGUCUCGGUUCCGGUCUCGGUUCCGGUCUCGGUUCCGGUCCCGCCCUGUUGUGAUGCCGCCGUGAUUCAUCCUUUCCCUGCGGCGCCGCCUGGAAACACCCACAGAACCGGAACCAGAACCGGAACCAGAACCGGAACCGGGACCAGAACCGGAACCGGGACCAGAACCGGGACCAGAACCAGGACUGGGACCAGAACCAGAACCGGGACCAGGACUGACAAUGGGCCCAACAAUGGAGACACAGUGGGACCAGAACCGACAGCAGAACCGGUACCGGAACCUGGACUGACACCGGUACCAAUAUGGACCCUGGGACCGAUACCGGGACCAACAGCAGAACCAGAACCGAUACCGGUACCAGCACCAGACUGGUACCACCAUUAA